ACUAAGUGAGCUACUUUAAAGCAGCUAUUAGAGCUAACCCGUCUCUGUCGCAAAAGAGUGGGGUGACUUUAAAGUAGAGGUGAUAGACCUACCGAACUUAGAGAUAGCUGGUUUUUUAAGAAAAGAAUUUUAGUUCAGCCCCAAGCCUUUCGUUAAGCAAAAAACCUUCUUAGGCCUGGGAGUCAUUCAUAUAGGGCACAGCCUAUUUGAAACAGGAUACAACCUAGAAUAUAGGGUAAAACAAUGUGAUUUUUCUAUAAGUGGGCUUGAAAGCAGCCACCUUUCAAAAAGCGUUGUAGCUUAUUGAUACUGAUUAUUUAAUAACCUCAAAAAUGUUUAACCCACACACACUAUUAAACUAUCCCAUAAAUUUAUGGGAGCUAUCAUGCUAGAACAAGUAACAAGAAAAAGAUUUUUCUCCAAAAUACAAGCUUUAGCCGCUACAGACAAACUACCGGCAAUUAACGCCUUUUAACUAAUUUAGUAACUCUAACAAGAAAACCCU
Molecule: ribosomal RNA, 505 nt
Filed under: Boophis quasiboehmei
Lineage: Eukaryota; Metazoa; Chordata; Amphibia; Anura; Mantellidae
Description: partial 16S ribosomal RNA
Rfam family: Bacterial large subunit ribosomal RNA (bases 1-392)
Source: RNAcentral